RNAcentral lists this ribosomal RNA (400 nucleotides) under Bacillus subtilis. RNAcentral's name for it is "bacterial SSU rRNA". It matches the Rfam family "Bacterial small subunit ribosomal RNA", at positions 671 to 1066 of the family's 1533-position model. Lineage: Bacteria; Bacillati; Bacillota; Bacilli; Caryophanales; Bacillaceae. The record is from RNAcentral.
AGGCUUACCGUUCAAAAACCUGAGAUCUGGAAGGACCACCGGUGCGAAGGGGGAUUUUUCGUUUGUAAAUGACCCUGAGGGGCGAAAGCCUGGGGAGCGAACAGGGUUAGAUACCCUGGUUGUUCACGCCGUAAACGAUGAGUGGUAAGUGUUAGGGGGUUUCCGCCCCUUAGUGCUGCAGCUAACGCAUUAAGCACUCCGCCUGGGGAGUACGGUCGCAAGACUGAAACUCAAAGGAAUUGACGGGGGCCCGCACAAGCGGUGGAGCAUGUGGUUUAAUUCGAAGCAACGCGAAGAACCUUACCAGGUCUUGACAUCCUCUGACAAUCCUAGAGAUAGGACGUCCCCUUCGGGGGCAGAGUGACCAGGUGGUGCCAUGGUUGUUCGUUCAGCUUCGGUU